Molecule: ribosomal RNA, 459 nt
Filed under: uncultured bacterium
Lineage: Bacteria
Description: partial 16S ribosomal RNA
Rfam family: Bacterial small subunit ribosomal RNA
Source: RNAcentral
AACGAACGCUGGCGGCAUGCCUAACACAUGCAAGUCGAACGAUACCUUCGGGGCUAGUGGCGCACGGGUGCGUAACGCGUGGGAACCUGCCCUUAGGUUCGGAAUAACUCCCCGAAAGGGGUGCUAAUACCGGAUAAUGUCUUCGGACCUAAGAGUUAUCGCCUUUGGAUGGGCCCGCGUUGGAUUAGCUAGUUGGUAGGGUAAAGGCCUAUCAAGGCUACGAGCCAUAGCUGGACUGAGAGGAUGAUCAGCCACACGGGGACUGAGACACGGCCCAGACGCGUACGGGAGGCAGCAGUAGGGAAUCUUCGGCAAUGGACGGAAGGCUGACCGAGCAACGCCGCGGGAGUGAAGAAGGUUUUCGGAUCGUAAAGCUCUGUUGUAAGAGAAGAACGAGUGUGAGCGUGGAAAGCUCACACUGUGACGGUAUCUUACCAGAAAGGGGCGGCUAACUACGGG